UUGAACUGAAGAGUUUGAUCCUGGCUCAGAUUGAACGCUGGCGGCAUGCCUUACACAUGCAAGUCGAACGGCAGCACGGGUGCUUGCACCUGGUGGCGAGUGGCGAACGGGUGAGUAAUACAUCGGAACAUGUCCUG
This 137-nucleotide ribosomal RNA is filed under the name Burkholderia cenocepacia. RNAcentral's name for it is "partial 16S ribosomal RNA". It matches the Rfam family "Bacterial small subunit ribosomal RNA", at positions 1 to 133 of the family's 1533-position model. Lineage: Bacteria; Pseudomonadati; Pseudomonadota; Betaproteobacteria; Burkholderiales; Burkholderiaceae. The record is from RNAcentral.